This 154-nucleotide unclassified non-coding RNA is filed under the name Camarosporioides phragmitis. Its description in RNAcentral is "partial internal transcribed spacer 2". Lineage: Eukaryota; Fungi; Ascomycota; Dothideomycetes; Pleosporales; Phaeosphaeriaceae. The record is from RNAcentral.
GUACCUUCAAGCUUUGCUUGGUGUUGGGUGUUUGUCCUCUCCUUGGUGUUUGGACUCGCCUUAAAAUAAUUGGCAGCCAGUGUUUUGGUAUUGAAGCGCAGCACAAGUCGCGAUUUAAUCCAGCUACAUUUGCGUCCAUGAGCCUUUUUUUCAC